Molecule: ribosomal RNA, 466 nt
Filed under: uncultured bacterium
Lineage: Bacteria
Description: partial 16S ribosomal RNA
Rfam family: Bacterial small subunit ribosomal RNA
Source: RNAcentral
GAUGAACGCUGGCGGCGUGCUUAACACAUGCAAGUCGAACGAUGAAGCCCAGCUUGCUGGGUGGAUUAGUGGCGAACGGGUGAGUAACACGUGAGUAACCUGCCCUUAACUCUGGGAUAAGCCUGGGAAACUGGGUCUAAUACCGGAUAGGAGCGUCCACCGCAUGGUGGGUGUUGGAAAGAUUUAUCGGUUUUGGAUGGACUCGCGGCCUAUCAGCUUGUUGGUGAGGUAAUGGCUCACCAAGGCGACGACGGGUAGCCGGCCUGAGAGGGUGACCGGCCACACUGCGACUGAGACACGGCCCAGACUCCUACGGGAGGCAGCAGUGGGGAAUAUUGCACAAUGGGCGCAAGCCUGAUGCAGCGACGCCGCGUGAGGGAUGACGGCCUUCGGGUUUUAAACCUCUUUCAGUAGGGAAGAAGCGAAAGUGACGGUACCUGCAGAAGAAGCACCGGCUAACUACGUG